AGUGAACGCUGGCGGUAGGCCUAACACAUGCAAGUCGAACGGCGGCACAGUAAGAGCUUGCUCUUACGGGUGGCGAGUGGCGGACGGGUGAGGAAUACAUCGGAAUCUACUUUUUCGUGGGGGAUAACGUAGGGAAACUUACGCUAAUACCGCAUACGACCUACGGGUGAAAGCAGGGGAUCUUCGGACCUUGCGCGACUGAAUGAGCCGAUGUCGGAUUAGCUAGUUGGCGGGGUAAAGGCCCACCAAGGCGACGAUCCGUAGCUGGUCUGAGAGGAUGAUCAGCCACACUGGAACUGAGACACGGUCCAGACUCCUACGGGAGGCAGCAGUGGGGAAUAUUGGACAAUGGGCGCAAGCCUGAUCCAGCCAUACCGCGUGGGUGAAGAAGGCCUUCGGGUUGUAAAGCCCUUUUGUUGGGAAAGAAAAGCAGCAGGUUAAUACCCCGCUGUUCUGACGGUACCCAAAGAAUAAGCACCGGCUAACUUCGUG
Molecule: ribosomal RNA, 492 nt
Filed under: uncultured bacterium
Lineage: Bacteria
Description: partial 16S ribosomal RNA
Rfam family: Bacterial small subunit ribosomal RNA
Source: RNAcentral